Molecule: long non-coding RNA, 2381 nt
Organism: Eriocheir sinensis (Chinese mitten crab)
Lineage: Eukaryota; Metazoa; Arthropoda; Malacostraca; Decapoda; Varunidae
Exons: 2
Source: RefSeq, a predicted model, not a curated record
UUAUUUUGUAUACUUUAUUGUAUGCAAAAUAAUAUGUAUAAUAAACUCUUUCAGUGACAAAAAUUGGAUAACAAAUGUGCUUCAGGCUUCAUAGGCACACACACACACACACACACACACACACACACAAGGAUAUCAAUACAGCACAAACACAGAAGAUUACAAACACACAUAUACGUAAUCACUAAGUUUGUAUAAUCGAGUUGAAACGUAAAUUCCUAUAUAUACGCAUAGGCAUAAAGUAUAUUGUAUGUAUGUAUGUAUGCCUGCCAGUUUGUAUUCAUCCUUCUCGUAAACACAAGGAUCAGGGCAGAAAACUAUACUCAAACUUUAGAUUAACCAUAAAAAUAAAGUUGCCAAAAUACCAUAUGGCUAUCUAUGAAUAUUCCGGCGAUCGUCCAUUUUUAAGCCUAUUUUCUGAUUAUUUUUCUCCCUGGUGUCCGUACUAACUGGAAAGGUGCGUACAGAUUGGCGUACAUAUGUAUAGAUUCCUGGUUUAAGCUUACUGUGUUUCUGUGUGCUGUGGGGAAGGAUGCCGGGGAGGUAACAUUGAUUUCUCCACUGUACUCUAUUCAGGAGCAGUAAGUAGCGGACUGUUUUUUUUAUUAUUGUUUUCUUUUUUUUUACGUCCUUGCACUGUCUCCUCUGCUGAAAAAAAUAAAAUAAAUAAAUAAAUAAAAAUAAGGUCCCUAUUCUGACACUUUCCAGCGCACAUGACGACUAAUUUCAAAGGAGGUUGGUCAGGUUCUCAGGAGUGCUUUUUCAUGCCCAUAGUGUAGAGGCGUUAGCACACUAUCACCAGGCUCAUAUAACUACCCAUGGGAAUACUAACAACCUCCGUGGAAGCCUCGCCAAGUGUGGGUGUGUGAGAUGUGAAUUGUGUGAGAAUAUGUGGACCUGACAAUCGGGUUAUAGCAGACAUACAUUGACUUUUAACCCAGUAGCAGCGACGGGCCUAAUUUGUGGCUUUACCGUGCACCAGCGACAGGCCAAAUUUGUGGCUUUACCGUGUAGCAGCGACAGGCCAAAUUUGUGGCUUUACCGUGUAGCAGCGACGUGCCAAAUUUGUGCCACGAUAUAAAGCUCCCAAAAUAGAUGAUACAUAAACUGACCACAAAUGUGCUGAUAUGUAUUAUGAAAUGGUUUGUGUGAGUGAUGAUUUUUUUCUCAUUUUUCUCGCUUAGAGGGACCAUUAAGAAUCGUGAUCCCCGCUGCUGCUGGGUUAAGAUUAUUUCACAGUAUUCUUGGCUUGGAUUUGUGUUGGCUCCUGCUCUGGUUAAAAUGUGAACUAUCAAUAGACUCUUUACGGGAAGCUGAGCCAUUAUGAACACAGGAACAUGAAUAAAAAUUAAUAUAAGGAAAAGAAAGAGAGAUAAAAAGAUAUUAGUAAAGAAAAUACACAUAACUUUCUUUCAAUUGGUCGGUGUUUCUUGGUCACACUUACAAACACAGUGAAAUGCAGGUAAUUUGUGCUGGGUGAGAAAUUCUGUGAGAGGAACUUUUUUAUAUCAACGCUAAUCAUAGAAUCAACGUCUUGUCUCUGCAGCCAUACACGAGUGCAUACGUAAAUAAACACAUCUAGGUGCUGGGUAAAGGUAUCCGACACACAUCUUGCAGUACCAGAGGGAUCGAAAUCAUGGAAGAGGAUCACAACAUGCCUUAAAAGUUAUGCCAUUCACUCAAGUUUCCAAAAAUAUUUCACAGGUUGCGUUCGUCGGAAUCAACGGACGUCGGCAUUUCGUCUACUCUAUGACACGGAAGUUUACCUGUUGUGCGUACUUACUCGUUAAUAAAAGUAUACUCACACCUUUCCAUAGACCAUUAAGCAUUUGUACAGACAGUGAAUCAUAGCAGUAUCAGAUGACCUUAUUUCUAGUGGGUUCGAACAUCAACCUCUAUGAAUGUGUUAACAAAAGUAUACUCACAUUUUUCCAUAGACAAUCAUUCAGGGUUUUGUACAGACACUUAGUGGAUCAUUGGCUUUAUGAGACCCUUAUUUCUAGUGGGUUUGAGCGUCGACCAAUGGAAGGGAAGGGUCAGAGCAAGGUGAUUCAACCCCGAAGACAUCCCAAGACUACACAUUUUCAUAGAUCAUUUAGCUUUUGAACAGACUUAGUGAAUCAAUGCCAUUAUGAGACCCUUAUUUCUAGUGGGUUUGAGUGUCAACCAAUGGAAGGGAAGGGCCAGGUUGAGGCAAUUUCAACCCUAGUAGUAUUUGAAGAUAUCCCAAGCCUAUCUAACAUCCCCACAGUGGCAUUUAAUCCUAUACACAACGUAGCUAUAAUAAUUUCUGACAUACACGCACACAUACACACACGUUAUCACAGUUAUAAUCUACAGUACCUUCUUCAUAAAUACACACACACACACACACACACACA